This 221-nucleotide ribosomal RNA is filed under the name uncultured Smithella sp. RNAcentral describes it as "partial 16S ribosomal RNA". It matches the Rfam family "Bacterial small subunit ribosomal RNA", at positions 1161 to 1382 of the family's 1533-position model. The record is from RNAcentral. Lineage: Bacteria; Pseudomonadati; Thermodesulfobacteriota; Syntrophia; Syntrophales; Smithellaceae.
AACCGGAGGAAGGUGGGAUGACGUCAAGUCCUCAUGGCCUUUAUGCCAGGGCUACACACGUGCUACAAUGGGUGGUACAAAGAGCAGCUAACUCGCGAGAGUAUGCAAAUCUCAAAAAAGCCAUCCUCAGUUCGGAUUGGAGUCUGCAACUCGACUCCAUGAAGUUGGAAUCGCUAGUAAUCGCGGAUCAGCAUACCGCGGUGAAUACGUUCCCGGGCCUU